UGGGGAAUUUUGGACAAUGGGCGAAAGCCUGAUCCAGCCAUGCCGCGUGCAGGAUGAAGGCCUUCGGGUUGUAAACUGCUUUUGUACGGAACGAAAAGCCUCUUUCUAAUAAAGAGAGGUCAUGACGGUACCGUAAGAAUAAGCACCGGCUAACUACGUGCCAGCAGCCGCGGUAAUACGUAGGGUGCAAGCGUUAAUCGGAAUUACUGGGCGUAAAGCGUGCGCAGGCGGUUUUGUAAGACAGAGGUGAAAUCCCCGGGCUCAACCUGGGAACUGCCUUUGUGACUGCAAGGCUGGAGUGCGGCAGAGGGGGAUGGAAUUCCGCGUGUAGCAGUGAAAUGCGUAGAUAUGCGGAGGAACACC
Molecule: ribosomal RNA, 363 nt
Filed under: uncultured bacterium
Lineage: Bacteria
Description: partial 16S ribosomal RNA
Rfam family: Bacterial small subunit ribosomal RNA
Source: RNAcentral